Molecule: ribosomal RNA, 475 nt
Filed under: Bracon sp. 2 NG-2019
Lineage: Eukaryota; Metazoa; Arthropoda; Insecta; Hymenoptera; Braconidae
Description: partial 16S ribosomal RNA
Source: RNAcentral
CAUGUCUUAAAGAUUUUAAUUUUAAGUCAAAUCUGCCCAAUGAUUAAAUUAAAUGGCUGCAGUAUUUUUAACUGUACAAAGGUAGCAUAAUAAUUUGUUUUUUAAUUAAAAACUAGAAUGAAAGAUUUAAUGAAAUAAAGUCUGUUUCAAUAAAUUUAAAAUUAAAUUUAUUAUUUAAGUAAAAAAACUUAAAUUUUUUAUAAAGACGAUAAGACCCUAUAGAAUUUUAUUUAUUUUAUUAAAUUUUAAAUUUAAUAAAAUAAAUUUAAUUGGGGUAAUUAAAAAAUUNUAUAAAAUUUUUUUUAAAAAAAUCAUUUAUAAAUGAAUAAUAAAUCUUAAUUUUUAAAUUAAAAAUAUUAAUUACCUUAGGGAUAACAGCAUAAUUUUUUUUGAAAGAUCAUAUUUAUAAAAAAGAUUAUGACCUCGAUGUUGAAUUAAGAUAAAAUUUAAAUGUAAAAAUUUAAAAAUUUAAGUC